Molecule: ribosomal RNA, 254 nt
Filed under: uncultured bacterium
Lineage: Bacteria
Description: partial 16S ribosomal RNA
Rfam family: Bacterial small subunit ribosomal RNA
Source: RNAcentral
UACGGGGGGAGCAAGCGUUGUUCGGAUUUACUGGGCGUAAAGGGCGCGUAGGCGGUCAGCACAAGUCAGUUGUGAAAUCUCCGGGCUUAACUCGGAAAGGUCAACUGAUACUGUGCGACUAGAGUGCGGAAGGGGCAACUGGAAUUCUCGGUGUAGCGGUGAAAUGCGUAGAUAUCGAGAGGAACACCUGCGGCGAAGGCGGCAUCCUGGACCAACACUGACACUGAGGAGCGAAAGCCAGGGGAGCAAACGGG